AGAGUUGGAUCCUGUUUCAGCACGAACGCUGGCGGCAGGCCUGACACAUGCAAGUCGAGCGCAUUCUUCGGAGUGAGCGGCGGACGGGUUAGUAACGCGUGGGAAUAUACCCUUUUCUACGGAAUAGCCUCGGGAAACUGAGAGUAAUACCGUAUACGCCCUUCGGGGGAAAGAUUUAUCGGUGAAGGAUUAGCCCGCGUAAGAUUAGAUAGUUGGUGGUAAUGGCCUACCAAGUCUACGAUCUUUAGCUGGUUUGAGAGGAUGAUCAGCAACACUGGGACUGGGACACGGCCCAGACUCCUACGGGAGGCAGCAGUGGGGAAUCUUAGACAAUGGGCGCAAGCCUGAUCUAGCCAUGCCGCGUGAGUGACGAAGGCCUUAGGGUCGUAAAGCUCUUUCGCCAGAGAUGAUAAUGACAGUAUCUGGUAAAGAAACCCCGGCUAACUCCGUGCCAGCAGCCGCGGUAAUAAGGGCGA
Molecule: ribosomal RNA, 476 nt
Filed under: uncultured Loktanella sp.
Lineage: Bacteria; Pseudomonadati; Pseudomonadota; Alphaproteobacteria; Rhodobacterales; Roseobacteraceae
Description: bacterial SSU rRNA
Rfam family: Bacterial small subunit ribosomal RNA
Source: RNAcentral